RNAcentral lists this ribosomal RNA (440 nucleotides) under uncultured bacterium. Its description in RNAcentral is "bacterial SSU rRNA". It matches the Rfam family "Bacterial small subunit ribosomal RNA", at positions 338 to 776 of the family's 1533-position model. The record is from RNAcentral.
CCUACGGGUGGCUGCAGUCGAGAAUCUUCGGCAAUGCGCGAAAGCGUGACCGAGCGACGCCGCGUGCGGGAUGAAGGCCCUCGGGUUGUAAACCGCAAAAGUGGGGAGGAAAUCGCUGGGGGUUCUCCCCCAGCGUUGACCUAUCCACAGUAAGGACGGGCUAAGUUCGUGCCAGCAGCCGCGGUAAUACGAACCGUCCAAACGUUAUUCGGAAUUACUGGGCUUAAAGGGUACGUAGGCGGCGCUGUUAGUCGGGUGUGAAAGCCCUCGGCUCAACCGAGGAAUUGCGCCCGAUACUGCAGUGCUUGAGGGAGACAGAGGUAAGCGGAACUGAUGGUGGAGCGGUGAAAUGCGUUGAUAUCAUCAGGAACACCGGUGGCGAAAGCGGCUUACUGGGUCUCUUCUGACGCUGAGGUACGAAAGCUAGGGGAGCGAAGGGG